AGAGUUGAUCCUGGCUCAGGAUGAACGCUAGCUACAGGCUUAACACAUGCAAGUCGAGGGGCAGCAUUGGAGUAGCAAUACUCAGAUGGCGACCGGCGCACGGGUGAGUAACACGUAUCCAACCUGCCGCUUACUCGGGGAUAGCCUUUCGAAAGAAAGAUUAAUACCCGAUGGUAUAAAGAGUUCGCAUGUUCUCUUUAUUAAAGAAUUUCGGUAAGCGAUGGGGAUGCGUUCCAUUAGAUUGUUGGCGGGGUAACGGCCCACCAAGUCUACGAUGGAUAGGGGUUCUGAGAGGAAGGUCCCCCACAUUGGAACUGAGACACGGUCCAAACUCCUACGGGAGGCAGCAGUGAGGAAUAUUGGUCAAUGGACGGGAGUCUGAACCAGCCAAAAGUAGCGUGAAGGAUGACUGCCCUAUGGGUUGUAAACUUCUUUUAUAAGGGAAUAAAGUGAGGGACGUGUCCCUUUUUGUAUGUACCUUAUGAAUAAGGAUCGGCUAACUCCGUGCCAGCCGCCGC
RNAcentral lists this ribosomal RNA (518 nucleotides) under uncultured bacterium. Its description in RNAcentral is "bacterial SSU rRNA". It matches the Rfam family "Bacterial small subunit ribosomal RNA", at positions 8 to 518 of the family's 1533-position model. The record is from RNAcentral.